This 230-nucleotide ribosomal RNA is filed under the name uncultured bacterium. RNAcentral's name for it is "partial 16S ribosomal RNA". It matches the Rfam family "Bacterial small subunit ribosomal RNA", at positions 524 to 753 of the family's 1533-position model. The record is from RNAcentral.
GACGUAGGGUCCAAGCGUUGUCCGGAUUUACUGGGCGUAAAGAGCGCGUAGGCGGCUCGUUAAGUGUGAAGUGAAAUCUCUAGGGCUCAACCCAGAAACUGCUUUACAUACUGGCGAGCUGGAGUGAUGCAGAGGUUUGUGGAAUUCCUGGUGUAACGGUGAAAUGUGUUGAUAUCAGGAGGAACACCCAUGGCGAAGGCAGCAACUGGCAUCAACUGACGCGUGAGGCG